This 433-nucleotide ribosomal RNA is filed under the name uncultured bacterium. Its description in RNAcentral is "partial 16S ribosomal RNA". It matches the Rfam family "Bacterial small subunit ribosomal RNA", at positions 29 to 507 of the family's 1533-position model. The record is from RNAcentral.
AACGAACGCUGGCGGCAUGCCUAACACAUGCAAGUCGAACGAGACCUUCGGGUCUAGUGGCGCACGGGUGCGUAACGCGUGGGAACCUGCCCUUAGGUUCGGAAUAACUCCCCGAAAGGGGUGCCAAUACCGGAUAAUGUCUUCGGACCAAAGAUUUAUCGCCUUUGGAUGGGCCCGCGUUGGAUUAGCUAGUUGGUAGGGUAAAAGCCUACCAAGGCGACGAUCCAUAGCUGGUCUGAGAGGAUGAUCAGCCACACUGGGACUGAGACACGGCCCAGACUCCUACGGGAGGCAGCAGUGGGGAAUAUUGGACAAUGGGCGAAAGCCUGAUCCAGCAAUGCCGCGUGAGUGAUGAAGGCCUUAGGGUUGUAAAGCUCUUUUACCCGGGAUGAUAAUGACAGUACCGGGAGAAUAAGCUCCGGCUAACUCCGUG